AGAGUUUGAUCCUGGCUCAGGACGAACGCUGGCGGCGUGCCUAACACAUGCAAGUCUACGAGAAAGGGGUAGCAAUAUCCCGUGUAAAGUGGCGCAAGGGUGAGUAAUAUGUAAGUAAUCUACCCAUGGGUUCGGAAUAACUCGUCGAAAGACGGGAUAAUACCGUAUAAUGCAGCGGCAUCGCAUGAUGAUGUUGUUAAAGCUCUUGAAGCGCCUAUGGAUGAGCUUGCAUCCGAUUAGCUAGUUGGUGGGGUAACUGCCUACCAAGGCUACAAUCGGUAGCUGGUCUGAGAGGAUGAUCAGCCACACUGGAACUGAGACACGGUCCAGACUCCUACGGGAGGCAGCAGUGAGGAAUAUUGGGCAAUGGACGAAAGUCUGACCCAGCAACGCCGCGUGGAGGAUGAAUGCCGUAAGGUUGUAAACUCCUUUUGAAGGGGACGAAAAAUUCCGAUAACAUCGGAACUUGACUGUACCCUUAGAAGAAGCCCCGGCUAACUACGUGCCAGCAGCCGCGGUAAUACGUGGGGCGAGCGUUGUCCGGAUUUACUGGGUGUAAAGGGCGCGU
Molecule: ribosomal RNA, 568 nt
Filed under: uncultured Ignavibacterium sp.
Lineage: Bacteria; Pseudomonadati; Ignavibacteriota; Ignavibacteria; Ignavibacteriales; Ignavibacteriaceae
Description: bacterial SSU rRNA
Rfam family: Bacterial small subunit ribosomal RNA
Source: RNAcentral